CUACUGUGACAGUUCUGCUCCAGACACCCCCUCGUGUCCUGUCCAGACUGGGACCCUCCUUCCUCCCAAAUGUCUAGCGAUAUUCGGGUACAUCAAGUCUGUUCAUGCUGGGCCCUACCUACCCUUCCAUCCAUCUUCUCCUAACCACUGUUACUAGCGUGCACACACACACACACGCACACACACAGAAACGCACCUAUGCACCCAUACUCCCAUAUACAGGCAAAAACCACACCAGUCAUGGACUCUAGCACAGUCAGCCUCAACAUCCCCAAACACACUGGGAUCCACCACAUCUUUGAAUCUUUAUAAUACUUUUAUUUCUCCUAUUCUCUCUGUCUGGGAUGACUGCCCUCCUCGGACAAACUCCUAUUCAACCUUCAAGACCCAUCUCCAACAUUACCCCCUUGUGAAACCUCCCCAUUCACUAUUUAGUCAUCCCCUCCUCUGAAUGCCCAGAGAUUUUUUUUUCAUCUUUUGCUACACCACAUAAAGCAUCGUCUUCAUGUGUGCAUGCCCUAGAUAGAAGUAGAUACUCAGAAAGUGUUCACUGAACGAAUAAAUGAAUGAAUGAGCACAGGCUUCUCCCCCUAAGAAAAGAGGGGAGGAGUCAAAGCUGGCUUGAAAGGGAACCAGCAUGCCACCAGCCACUACUAUCCCGGAUUUGGGCACAAGCCGCUCCCACCCUUGUGGUCUGGUCUGGAGCCUCUCAACAGGUACGGCUGGGUUUACUGGAGGGAAGGGGGAGUGGGAGGCCCCUAACUUUUGCAGGAACAAUGCACAGCUAGUCGAGGAGAAGAAUGAUCCUACAGUCGGCAGCACAGGCCCUCCCAGGCCUCCCGCACAGCUCCUGCACAAGUCUGGCCUCACUGGGCACUCAGUUCUUGUGCUCAGGCUCUGCUCUCUUAAUUUUUACCUGGAAAAGGUGACUCCCAGGGUGCCUACGCUAGGAAAACAACACCUUAACUUCUUAAAUGAAUGGUUUAAAAAUGAGAGGAUAAAAAAAUGACCAAAACCAAUGAUGAAUGCACUGAUCUGAGAUUUUCAUCCCUAUCCCAAGACCCGGAGUCCUAGACUGCCACGAUCCUUCCAGGAAAGGAGAAGGACGUCAACAUUUAGUAGCAUCUACUGUGCCCUUGCUACUUAACCGACGCAAAGUGGCUUCAAGGUAGAUGUCACCAUGCUCUUCUGGAGGACAGAGGCUCAGAGACACAGAGAAACUUCCCCAAGGGUGCCCAGCAUGUCAGUGGGACAGCAGGUCUCAAUCCCAAGAGGUUGACUUCCGUUCCACCCCCGCCCCAUCCCACUGCACAAGCUAGCCUCCUGCUGCAUACAGGGGGCUGGAGACCAGGCAACAAAGACAAGUGGUUUCUUUCGGGGCUUGUCCUCUAAAUGACCCCUUUGCAAAUCUUUAUCCCACUCAGGGAUGGUAUCAACUCUACAAAGGGUUUAAGAGAAACCUCCAUCUACUGGGAGGGGAAACUGCAAGCAGGAAGGCAGCCCCUGAGCCGCCGGCAUUCGCUCAGCGAGCACGGGCACCGCCUGCCCGUCAUGGGCCAGGUGUGGACCGGCCGAUGGAUGCCAGGCUUAUAGACCAGGGGCUGAGGCCAGCCCACCCACGGCACACCGUGGAUCAACCAAGCUGCCCAUACCUCGUCUGGGAAGCCGGUUCCUCACGCUUCGGGAAUCUAACACGAAUUCUGGGUUGCAAAUAGGCAUGCCACCACUUUUUACUUAAGCUUGGCAAAGGCAGAGAAGCGAGAUCAAAUUUUGCAGGAUGUGAAAGGAAGUUUCAGGCUAGCAACAUUUGUUCAGCCUUUCUGUAUUGUCACAGAGCAUGACGGAAACGCUCAUCGUAGAAGCCAAAACCGGCCUCGUUUUUGGAACACAGAGGCAAGGAAAAACACGGAGAUCUGACUCUCACGGCGAGAACAAAGGGUCGAUUCAUUUAUUAACAAAAACGCACUGGGUGAUUCCCAGGCUCUGGGCACCGUCCCAGGCCCCAGAGAUACCAUGGGGACGAGGUGGACAAAACUGCCUGUCCACAUGCAGCUUCCGUACCAGCGGAGGAAGACAGGGACGAAACCGGGGAGUGAGUCACAGGCGACAUGAGACAAUGUGAGGAAGACACAACCAAGUGGGCGAGGGGAACGAACGCGCAGGCAAGUGUUGUGUGAGGCUCGGAGAAGACCGGGUUCUGGAGGCUGGAUGUUCAACAUGAAGAUGUCAGCAGGUUUGGUGUGUUUGACUUAUGGAUGGCCACUUUCUCCCUCCGGCCUACAAGGUCUUUUCCUCUGGGCACGUGUGGCCUUGGUGUCUCUGCAUAUUCAAGUCUCCUCUUCUUGUGAAGACAGCAGUCAUACUGGAUUAGCGUCCACCCCCAAAGACCUCAUUUUAACUAAAUCCCUUCGUUCAAGGCCCCGUCUCCAAAUACAGUCACAUUCUGAGCACCAAGGGUCGUAUCGUCAACACGUGAAUUCGGGGGGAACACAAUCCAGCCCAUAACCCUAGCUCAUUAAGAAACGCCUUCCCCCCUCCCCGGGUCACGGGCUCGCUCUCUGAAGUGAGGUGUGUUCCAGUCCAGCACGGGCACACUGGUCCCACACUCCUCCCACGGUGACUCCCACGCUCCUGUCCCCAGGCUGAGUCCUCCCGGGGGUGCAGACGGGGAGAACAACUACACGCCUCUGCUGUCGUCUCUCACCCCAGGACAACUAACACCCCUGCCCACUGCCCGCACUUGGCCCAAAGGGGCGUUGGGAAAGACCCACCAACCCCCUCCCCCCACCACAGCCCUCUGGACAAGAAAGGGUAGACUGCUUCCUCUUCGGCUCUGGAAGGGAUGCCUUCUAGAGCACACUCUCCUAGUUGCCCAGAACUCCAGGCUUCCUCCUGUACCAAGGAGGGCCCAGGUCUCUACUGUGGGACCCUGUUGGGAUCCUGUGGUCUCUACUGUGGGACCCUGUGGGACCCAUGGUCUCUGUUGACCAUGGAGGCUGGCUUAGCUCUGGAGGGUACCGAGGUUGAAAAUACGGUCGCUUCACGUUCUGAAAAUAUGAUUCCCACUCUAACAAUAAUAGCUAAUAUCUAGCGAUCACUUAUACGCACCAGGUAGAGUGCAAAGAGCAUUCUCUUCUCUUGUUUAAACUUCAGAGUAACCCUCAGAAGCCCAGCUUUACGGACAAGGAGAGGGAAAAUGACUUGCCCGAGAUGACGCAUCUCAUAAGGGACAAGUGGUGGUGACUCCGGCACUCUCGUGCCUCAGCAGCACGGUGGGAGCUCCCGGCGUGAGGACCUGAAUUCUGAUAGGCAGCCCAAUCACCUGACCUGACUCCCCGCCCCUUUUUCUCUGACAUCUCACGUGCCUGGAAGUCCCAGGCUCCCAGGCCAGCGCCAUUCCUGUCCCCCUUCUCUGGGCACGUGCUUUAGGCUGAUGGGGCACAGGCUCUCUCCUCCGUCCAGCCUGCAUCAUCCCAGGCACGCCUUCCGACCUCCCGACCACUCGCCUUGUCCCCGUUCACCUCUGCUGCUGCCCUAACGGGACGACCAGUCGCCACCCUCUGUGCGGGCGUCCGUCCUCACUGGGGACCAUCUUUGCCCCCAUCAACCUCAACCUUUGGGCCGCCAGUGCCUUCUGGGCAUGUACCUGAGAAGGACCACACCCCCCGGGCACUCUCAACUUCCACUUCCCCUAACUGUCCCCUCAUUUCCAAACCGGCUGCCUUAGCAUCCCCAAUGGAGCACAGCUCUCGCAGCGAUGAGGCCGCCAAUCCCGUGACCCCACCCUUAUCCCCCCAGGCCAUCUCUCCUUCCCUGUCCGUCUGCCUCUCAGUCACCCAGCCUUGCUUCUGCGGUCCUCCUUGUAGUCAGUCCGUGGCCCGCCCACCCGUCAGCCCUCCAUUGGUUCUGCGCUGGAUAGACCCCAAACCCCGUUAAAUACAACCAUUCGCCUCAUCGGGGCCUCCACCCAAGUUCCUGAAUGUUACUGAAGAAAGUCCACGCAACCAAUGCCCGCUGUUGGUUCCAAGUUCAUGACCACAAAUCUCAAACAUGUUCUCACGGCUGCCCGGCUCUCUCUCCCCCCAACCGAGACACUGUGUAACUCCUCCCCUCCUCCCCUCCAACUUCCCAGCAGAGGAAGCCACCAGAAAGAAAUCCUUUCAUUGGCCCUCUUCUCCCCCACAUUCAGAGGAAAAGGGCCCAAGGCGGAUCUUUCAUCUGUAUGCUGAAAACUGGCGCCCUUCAACUUCUCAAGGACUUUGCUUUUCUACAACCUCCUCUCUCCUCCCCAUCAUGCUCCCCCUUUCUCUGGGGUCACUGUCUCCAGUGAUCACGCAAGCCCACCUACCUCCUGUCUUCAGCAACAGGGAGAGAAGCCACUUGGGUACAAGACAUAUGGUCCCGAACUGUAUCAUUCUCUCAAGUUUUCUGGAACUUUGAAUUCUUCAAAAUAAAAAGCAGAAAUAACGAA
Long non-coding RNA from Leopardus geoffroyi (Geoffroy's cat), 4471 nucleotides. RefSeq lists it as uncharacterized. The transcript is spliced from 2 exons. The record is from RefSeq and is a predicted model, not a curated record. NCBI's taxonomy places the organism in Eukaryota, Metazoa, Chordata, Mammalia, Carnivora, Felidae.